GCUAAAAACUUAGCUUUAAUUUAUUAUAAUGCCCACCCGUACCUCAAACAACAAAAUAAAACAUUUUACACAUUAAGUAAAGGCGAUUAAAAAAUGUCUUAAAGCUAUAAAACAAGUACCGCAAGGGAAUAGUGAAAUAAUAAUGAAAACUAAAGCAUAUAAAAGCAGAGCCUUAACCUCGUACCUUUUGCAUCAUGGUCUAACUAGUCCCCUCGAGCAAAAGGAGUUUUAAGUUUGAUCCCCCGAAACUAGGUGAGCUACUUAAAAACAGCCUUCUGGGCCAACCCGUCUCUGUUGCAAAAGAGUGGGAAGAUUUUUAAGUAGAGGUGAUAAACCUACCGAACCUAGAGAUAGCUGGUUAUUCAGGAAAAGGAUUUAAGUCCUACCUUAGGUUUUUGUACAAUACAAGUACUCCGUCAACCUUUAGAGCUAUUCAAAUAAGGUACAGCCUAUUUGAAACAGGAUACAACCUCACCAAUUGGGUAAUAUAUUUUAACAUCAACUAAGUGGGCCUAAAAGCAGCCACCUUUAAAAAAGCGUUAAAGCUUCAUUGCAUUUUAUAAAAAUUCCGCUAAUUUUCUAAAACCCUUAACCUGUACUGAAUGGUCUUAUGACUUCAUAAGAGCCUAUAUGUUAGAACUAGUAACAAGAAGAAGCCCUUCUCCAAAAUGUAAGCAUGAGCCAAAAUGAACUAUUCAUUGGCAUUUAAAGUUAAUAAUCUUCUAGUAGUAACUACUCAAGAAAAACCUACUAUAUUUAACGUCAACCUUACACCAGCACAUUUCUGGAAAGAUUAAAAGACUAGGAAGGAACUCGGCAAACAAAUAACCCCGCCUGUUUACCAAAAACAUCGCCUCCUGAUUUUUAUAGGAGGUCUAGCCUGCCCAGUGACAAAGUUAAACGGCCGCGGUACCCUAACCGUGCAAAGGUAGCGCAAUCACUUGUUCUUUAAAUGAGGACUAGUAUGAACGGCAUCACGAGGGUUAUGCUGUCUCCCUACUUUAUUCAGUGAAACUGAUCUCCCCGUGAAGAGGCGGGGAUAAAAAUAUAAGACGAGAAGACCCCAUGGAGCUUUAAACUCAGUAUCAACUGCCAUAUUUAAAACCUAAUAUUUAAGCAAUUUCUGACUACUAGUUUUCGGUUGGGGUGACCACGGAGUAAAACCUAACCUCCACGAUGAAAGGAAAUAAUAACCUAAAUUAAGAGCUACGGCUCUAAAUAUCAAUAAAUUGACUCAUUGAUCCAAUUACUUGAUCAACGAACCAAGUUACCCUGGGGAUAACAGCGCAAUCCAUUUCAAGAGCUCCUAUCGACAAAUGGGUUUACGACCUCGAUGUUGGAUCAGGGUAUCCCAGUGGCGCAGCCGCUACUAACGGUUCGUUUGUUCAACGAUUAAAACCCUACGUGAUCUGAGUUCAGACCGGAGUAAUCCAGGUCGGUUUCUAUCUAUAAAGAGUUACUCCUAGUACGAAAGGACCGAAGUAACGUGGCCAAUGACAAAUUAAGCCACAGCUGUAAAUUAGUGAAAACAACUUAAUUAACACCAGCCUACCACUUUCCCUAAGAAAAAGAUU
RNAcentral lists this ribosomal RNA (1574 nucleotides) under Microhyla heymonsi (Taiwan rice frog). RNAcentral describes it as "16S ribosomal RNA". It matches the Rfam family "Bacterial large subunit ribosomal RNA". The record is from RNAcentral. Lineage: Eukaryota; Metazoa; Chordata; Amphibia; Anura; Microhylidae.